Molecule: ribosomal RNA, 566 nt
Filed under: uncultured bacterium
Lineage: Bacteria
Description: bacterial SSU rRNA
Rfam family: Bacterial small subunit ribosomal RNA
Source: RNAcentral
CCUACGGGAGGCAGCAGUGGGGAAUAUUGCACAAUGGGCGAAAGCCUGAUGCAGCGACGCCGCGUGAGGGAUGACGGCCUUCGGGUUGUAAACCUCUUUCAGCAGGGAAGAAGCGAAAGUGACGGUACCUGCAGAAGAAGCGCCGGCUAACUACGUGCCAGCAGCCGCGGUAAUACGUAGGGCGCAAGCGUUGUCCGGAAUUAUUGGGCGUAAAGAGCUCGUAGGCGGCUUGUCACGUCGGGUGUGAAAGCCCGGGGCUUAACCCCGGGUCUGCAUUCGAUACGGGCUAGCUAGAGUGUGGUAGGGGAGAUCGGAAUUCCUGGUGUAGCGGUGAAAUGCGCAGAUAUCAGGAGGAACACCGGUGGCGAAGGCGGAUCUCUGGGCCAUUACUGACGCUGAGGAGCGGAAGCGUGGGGAGCGAACAGGAUUAGAUACCCUGGUAGUCCACGCCGUAAACGGUGGGAACUAGGUGUUGGCGACAUUCCACGUCGUCGGUGCCGCAGCUAACGCAUUAAGUUCCCCGCCUGGGGAUACGGCCGCAAGGCUAAAACGUCAAUGAAUUGACG